This 383-nucleotide ribosomal RNA is filed under the name uncultured eukaryote. RNAcentral's name for it is "partial 18S ribosomal RNA". It matches the Rfam family "Eukaryotic small subunit ribosomal RNA", at positions 592 to 976 of the family's 1831-position model. The record is from RNAcentral.
CAAUAGCGUAUAUUAAAGUUGUUGCAGUUAAAAAGCUCGUAGUUGGAUUUCUGGUGGGAGCGAUCGGUCUGGCGCUUAGCGCGAGUACUUGCAUCGUCUCCGGCCAUCCUUGGGGAGAGUCUGUCUGGCAUUAAGUUGUCGGGCAGAGGAUCCUCAUCGUUUACUGUGAAAAAAUUAGAGUGUUCAAAGCAGGCUUAUGCCGUUGAAUAUAUUAGCAUGGAAUAAUAAGAUAGGACUUUGGUACUAUUUUGUUGGUUUGCGCACCAAAGUAAUGAUUAAUAGGGACAGUUGGGGGUAUUCGUAUUCCGUUGUCAGAGGUGAAAUUCUUGGACUUACGGAAGACGAACUACUGCGAAAGCAUUUACCAAGGAUGUUUUCAUUAA